CGCCCACUUUGGGUUUCAGAGAUCAACGCCCAUAUAUGCCGCAUGUCAGCCUCCUGUAUGGGGAUCUGACAGACGAGGAGAAGGAAG
This 87-nucleotide microRNA precursor is filed under the name Hordeum vulgare. Its description in RNAcentral is "miR6194 stem-loop (hvu-MIR6194)". The record is from miRBase by way of RNAcentral. Lineage: Eukaryota; Viridiplantae; Streptophyta; Magnoliopsida; Poales; Poaceae.